GGCCCGUUCGUCUAGCGGUAGGACGCGGGACUCUCAUUCCCGAAACAGGGGUUCGAUCCCCCUACGGGCUAUCA
RNAcentral lists this transfer RNA (74 nucleotides) under Spirochaetaceae bacterium. RNAcentral describes it as "tRNA-Glu". It matches the Rfam family "tRNA". From Rfam's summary of the family: Transfer RNA (tRNA) molecules are approximately 80 nucleotides in length. Their secondary structure includes four short double-helical elements and three loops (D, anti-codon, and T loops). The record is from RNAcentral. Lineage: Bacteria; Pseudomonadati; Spirochaetota; Spirochaetia; Spirochaetales; Spirochaetaceae.